RNAcentral lists this ribosomal RNA (821 nucleotides) under Clostridioides difficile. Its description in RNAcentral is "partial 23S ribosomal RNA". It matches the Rfam family "Bacterial large subunit ribosomal RNA", at positions 1884 to 2703 of the family's 2925-position model. Lineage: Bacteria; Bacillati; Bacillota; Clostridia; Peptostreptococcales; Peptostreptococcaceae. The record is from RNAcentral.
GAUCUGUUAGAGCAAUCGAAGCAGUGAACUUAAGCCCCAGUAAACGGCGGCCGUAACUAUAACGGUCCUAAGGUAGCGAAAUUCCUUGUCGGGUAAGUUCCGACCCGCACGAAAGGCGUAACGAUUUGGGCACUGUCUCAACAACAGACUCGGUGAAAUUGUAAUUCCGGUGAAGAUGCCGGAUACCUGCGACAGGACGGAAAGACCCCAUGGAGCUUUACUGUAGCUUGACAUUGGGUCUUGGUACUACAUGUACAGGAUAGGUGGGAGGCUUUGAAACCAGGACGCCAGUUUUGGCGGAGCCAUCCUUGGGAUACCACCCUUGUAGUACUGGGACUCUAACCAUAGGCCAUGAAUCUGGUCUUGGGACACUGUCAGGUGGGCAGUUUGACUGGGGCGGUCGCCUCCCAAAAGGUAACGGAGGCGCUCAAAGGUUCUCUCAGUACGGUCGGAAAUCGUACGUAGAGUGUAAAGGCAAAAGAGAGCUUGAUUGCAAGACAUACAGGUCGAGCAAGGAUGAAAAUCGGACUUAGUGAUCCGGUGGUUCUGCGUGGAAGGGCCAUCGCUCAACGGAUAAAAGCUACCCUGGGGAUAACAGGCUUAUCUCCCCCAAGAGUCCACAUCGACGGGGAGGUUUGGCACCUCGAUGUCGGCUCAUCACAUCCUGGGGCUGUAGUAGGUCCCAAGGGUUGGGCUGUUCGCCCAUUAAAGUGGUACGCGAGCUGGGUUCAGAACGUCGUGAGACAGUUCGGUCCCUAUCCGUCGCAGGCGUAGGAAAUUUGAGAAGACCUGUCCUUAGUACGAGAGGACCGGGAUGGACG